Molecule: ribosomal RNA, 253 nt
Filed under: uncultured bacterium
Lineage: Bacteria
Description: partial 16S ribosomal RNA
Rfam family: Bacterial small subunit ribosomal RNA
Source: RNAcentral
UACAGAGGUCUCAAGCGUUGUUCGGAUUCAUUGGGCGUAAAGGGCGCGUAGGCGGCUUGGCAAGUGGAAGGUGAAAUCCCUCGGCUUAACCGAGGAACUGCCCUCCAAACUGCUUCGCUUGAGACCGGGAGAGGUGAGUGGAAUUCCCAGUGUAGCGGUGAAAUGCGUAGAUAUUGGGAGGAACACCAGUGGCGAAGGCGGCUCACUGGACCGGUACUGACGCUGAUGCGCGAAAGCGUGGGGAGCAAACGGG